Maniola jurtina (meadow brown) is the source of this 199-nucleotide long non-coding RNA. RefSeq lists it as uncharacterized. Lineage: Eukaryota; Metazoa; Arthropoda; Insecta; Lepidoptera; Nymphalidae. The record is from RefSeq and is a predicted model, not a curated record. The transcript is spliced from 3 exons.
GUGUCAGUGUCAAGUGAACAAGAAAAGGGAGCAAAAAAGCAAAAAAAAACUAAUUGGUCUGUGAAUUCAAUUAUAAAGCAUUACAAAAGUGUACAUAAAAAAUAAAUAAAUCCUAUGAAUUUCCCUUUAUCGGUCGGGUGUCAAGUAUGAACUUUCAUAUUUCAUUCUUACAAUGAGUAGUCAUGAAUCAUAAUUGAUA